AAUUUACAUCUUUUAGUCAGAAGAGAGACCAACUUCCCUUAGGAUGAUACAGUGUCAUUCCUGGUUCUCUUUCUGGAAAUACGGUGUAUAUCGGAGGACAAAGCAAACCAGGGACGCCUUGUCUUGGAAUCAUACCAUCAACAAGCUGAAAUACAAAUUGAAAGGAGAUGGCUGUGCAGCAUGAAGUGAUGUGGUGUGGAGACUGCUGAGGCAAGGCUGCAAUGGAGUGCUCUGGGUCCAGAAGGACUAUCUGUUUUCUACUGCUUUUCAGAGCUAAUUAAAUGGGAUUUAGCUUCUUUUCCCCAAGCCGGUACCACUAGUGUCAGUUUUCCUGGAUAAAUGAAUUGAAUCAGUUCACAAGUGAAGAGCGGAAGUUAUGUUAAUAAUGAGCAAAAAGUUUAAUUCCACUGCAACCUGUUCUGAUUCCUAUAUUAUUUCAAUGACCUGUACCCUAGGAAGUCAGAGAAGAAGAAAGUGCCAUAGUCUGUUAAUGAUGCCAGUAGAUCCUCUGCAGAACAUCUUCCUCUGCAGUAAAAUUCACUCCUCCUGGUUGUUACCAGUUCUACCCAAUUACUCUUUUCAUUCUCACCAGUGCUGCUGAACUGGUGCAGAAAAUACUUUGACUGGGACUUAUGUGAAGUAAUAAGGAAGAACAGUUUCUGGACAAAUAAAUAUUUGGCGUUUUGCAAGCUUCUGUAAAGAAACGAGGAGGUGAGAUUAGCUGUAAAUGAAGAUAAGAGCUGCUGCUUUGAAAUGGGCAACGGAGCAAGCACAUUCCUUUGCAGUACACAGGAAUCAGUCACUUCUGUGGUCUC
Calidris pugnax (ruff) is the source of this 815-nucleotide long non-coding RNA. RefSeq lists it as uncharacterized. The record is from RefSeq and is a predicted model, not a curated record. The transcript has 5 exons. Lineage: Eukaryota; Metazoa; Chordata; Aves; Charadriiformes; Scolopacidae.